This 449-nucleotide ribosomal RNA is filed under the name uncultured bacterium. RNAcentral's name for it is "partial 16S ribosomal RNA". It matches the Rfam family "Bacterial small subunit ribosomal RNA", at positions 338 to 795 of the family's 1533-position model. The record is from RNAcentral.
CCUACGUGAGGCAGCAGUGAGGAAUAUUGGUCAAUGGGCGCGAGCCUGAACCAGCCAAGUCGCGUGAAGGAUGACGGUCCUAUGGAUUGUAAACUUCUUUUGUGCAGGAAUAAAGUGAGGAACGUGUUCCUUUUUGUAUGUACUGUACGAAUAAGCAUCGGCUAACUCCGUGCCAGCAGCCGCGUUAAUACGGAGGAUGCGGGCGUUAUCCGUAUUAAGGGGGUUUAAGGGGGCUGAUGAGUCAGUGGUGAAAGUUUGCAGCUUAACUGUAAAAUUGCCAUUGAAACUGUUAGUCUUGAGUGCAAAUGAGGUAGGCGGAAUGUGUUGUGUAGCGGUGAAAUGCUUAGAUAUAACACAGAACUCCGAUUGCGAAGGCAGCUUACUGGGAUGCAACUGACGCUGAUGCACGAAAGCGUGGGUAUCAAACAGGAUUAGAUACCCCAGUAGUC